Molecule: ribosomal RNA, 1241 nt
Filed under: Bacillus pumilus
Lineage: Bacteria; Bacillati; Bacillota; Bacilli; Caryophanales; Bacillaceae
Also listed under: 1 other name
Description: bacterial SSU rRNA
Rfam family: Bacterial small subunit ribosomal RNA
Source: RNAcentral
GUAACCUGCCUGUAAGACUGGGAUAACUCCGGGAAACCGGAGCUAAUACCGGAUAGUUCCUUGAACCGCAUGGUUCAAGGAUGAAAGACGGUUUCGGCUGUCACUUACAGAUGGACCCGCGGCGCAUUAGCUAGUUGGUGGGGUAAUGGCUCACCAAGGCGACGAUGCGUAGCCGACCUGAGAGGGUGAUCGGCCACACUGGGACUGAGACACGGCCCAGACUCCUACGGGAGGCAGCAGUAGGGAAUCUUCCGCAAUGGACGAAAGUCUGACGGAGCAACGCCGCGUGAGUGAUGAAGGUUUUCGGAUCGUAAAGCUCUGUUGUUAGGGAAGAACAAGUGCGAGAGUAACUGCUCGCACCUUGACGGUACCUAACCAGAAAGCCACGGCUAACUACGUGCCAGCAGCCGCGGUAAUACGUAGGUGGCAAGCGUUGUCCGGAAUUAUUGGGCGUAAAGGGCUCGCAGGCGGUUUCUUAAGUCUGAUGUGAAAGCCCCCGGCUCAACCGGGGAGGGUCAUUGGAAACUGGGAAACUUGAGUGCAGAAGAGGAGAGUGGAAUUCCACGUGUAGCGGUGAAAUGCGUAGAGAUGUGGAGGAACACCAGUGGCGAAGGCGACUCUCUGGUCUGUAACUGACGCUGAGGAGCGAAAGCGUGGGGAGCGAACAGGAUUAGAUACCCUGGUAGUCCACGCCGUAAACGAUGAGUGCUAAGUGUUAGGGGGUUUCCGCCCCUUAGUGCUGCAGCUAACGCAUUAAGCACUCCGCCUGGGGAGUACGGUCGCAAGACUGAAACUCAAAGGAAUUGACGGGGGCCCGCACAAGCGGUGGAGCAUGUGGUUUAAUUCGAAGCAACGCGAAGAACCUUACCAGGUCUUGACAUCCUCUGACAACCCUAGAGAUAGGGCUUUCCCUUCGGGGACAGAGUGACAGGUGGUGCAUGGUUGUCGUCAGCUCGUGUCGUGAGAUGUUGGGUUAAGUCCCGCAACGAGCGCAACCCUUGAUCUUAGUUGCCAGCAUUUAGUUGGGCACUCUAAGGUGACUGCCGGUGACAAACCGGAGGAAGGUGGGGAUGACGUCAAAUCAUCAUGCCCCUUAUGACCUGGGCUACACACGUGCUACAAUGGACAGAACAAAGGGCUGCGAGACCGCAAGGUUUAGCCAAUCCCAUAAAUCUGUUCUCAGUUCGGAUCGCAGUCUGCAACUCGACUGCGUGAAGCUGGAAUCGCUAGUAAUCGCGGAU